This 492-nucleotide ribosomal RNA is filed under the name uncultured bacterium. Its description in RNAcentral is "partial 16S ribosomal RNA". It matches the Rfam family "Bacterial small subunit ribosomal RNA", at positions 29 to 507 of the family's 1533-position model. The record is from RNAcentral.
AGUGAACGCUGGCGGUAGGCCUAACACAUGCAAGUCGAACGGCAGCACAGUAAGAGCUUGCUCUUACGGGUGGCGAGUGGCGGACGGGUGAGGAAUACAUCGGAAUCUACUUUUUCGUGGGGGAUAACGUAGGGAAACUUACGCUAAUACCGCAUACGCCCUACGGGUGAAAGCAUGGGAUCUUCGGACCUUGCGCGAUUGAAUGAGCCGAUGUCGGAUUAGCUAGUUGGCGGGGUAAAGGCCCACCAAGGCGACGAUCCGUAGCUGGUCUGAGAGGAUGAUCAGCCACACUGGAACUGAGACACGGUCCAGACUCCUACGGGAGGGAGCAGUGGGGAAUAUUGGACAAUGGGCGCAAGCCUGAUCCAGCCAGACCGCGUGGGUGAAGAAGGCCUUCGGGUUGUAAAGCCCUUUUGUUGGGAAAGAAAAGCAGCAGGUUAAUACCCCGCUGUUCUGACGGUACCGAAAGAAUAAGCACCGGCUAACUUCGUG